This is an RNA transcript of Aethina tumida (small hive beetle), 5176 nucleotides long. It is a transcript of the gene named bromodomain and WD repeat-containing protein 3, with no coding region annotated. The transcript is spliced from 21 exons. The record is from RefSeq and is a predicted model, not a curated record. NCBI's taxonomy places the organism in Eukaryota, Metazoa, Arthropoda, Insecta, Coleoptera, Nitidulidae.
ACGCAACUGACUCGCAAACCACCAACCGUGUUGAAAAUAUGUAUUUUGUUUUCAACUAACCUCAAAACAAAAUGUAGGUAACAAUUCAACCAUAAGCAAUGGAAAACACUGAGAACAAAAAAUUAGCAUUAACAGCUGAUCUAUAUUUUUUAAUUCAAAGAUUUUUGAGUGCUGGCCCUUUAAAGAAAACAUUAGCAGUUCUCAAUGAGGAACUUGAACAGCAUAAGAUUUUACCAAGUAGGAUUGACUGGGAGGGAAACAAUCAUGAUAGGACUGUUGAAGAUAUGGAGCAACAAUUCUCCCACAUCAGACCUGAUUUCCUAUUACAAUUGUGCUACCAAGCCUCAGAUACAUGUGGAACCACCCUAGAUGCCUCAACAGUAUGCUCCUUAUUAAGCACAAGAAACAAGGAUCUCAAAAAACCUUUCAGUAAUUUUAAUCAAUAUCAGAAAUAUGUUACAAGAUACCAUGGUGUUCCAAUUUAUGAUAUUAAAUUACCUUUUAAUUUUAUAAAUGGGUUAAGGGGCAGGGAAAUAUCAGGUCCAUUUGCCAGACAACGAGCAAUUACUCCAUCUUUAUACAGUGCCAUUCAAAUUCAGAGGAUUACGCUUGGUCAUUUAUCAGCUGUUUAUUGUCUACUAUUUGAUCAUUCAGGAAAAUAUAUAAUUACAGGUGCUGACGACUUACUAAUAAAAUUAUGGUCAGCCAACACGGGCCGAUUGAUCGCAACAUUCAGGGGUGCUUCGUCGGAAAUUACGGACAUAGCCAUCAAUGUCGAAAACACAUUAAUAGCAGCCGGAUCCAUGGAUCGCAUACUGAGAGUAUGGAAUCUGCAGAACGGCGUGCCCAUUGCCGUCCUAACCGGACACACCGGUUCAAUAACUUCCGUAAACUUUUGUCCCACGGACUGUUGGAAUUUUCGCUACCUAAUCAGCACAAGUUCAGACGGCAGCAUCGCAUUUUGGAUGUACACACACGAAAUCGGUAAAGUCAAUUUCAGAUCGACUCCGAUAAUGUACCAGGAAAAGAUCAGACCGGGCCAGGCCCAAAUGAUAUGUUCCUCGUUCAGUCCCGGCGGCACGUUUCUGGCAACAGGUUCUGCCGACCAUCACGUGCGCGUUUAUUACAUGAAAGGCGACGAAGGACCACAUCGUAUCGUGGAAACGGAAGCGCACUCCGACCGUGUUGAUUCCAUACAGUGGGCUCACUCUGGGCUCCGUUUUCUCUCUGGUAGCAAGGACGGAACUGCUAUCGUCUGGAUGUUCGAACGUCAACAGUGGAAGAAUGUCUGCCUUAACAUGACCACCAAGUUAUCCACCGCAAAAACCACAAGCGAAGAUCCAAAGAAACUAAAGGUAACGAUGGUGGCUUGGAAUUUAUCGGAUGAAUGGGUGAUAACGGCAGUGAGUGACUACUCGUUGAAAGUCUGGUCGCCAACCACGGGUGAACUGGUCAAAGUACUGACCGGCCACACAGACGAGGUGUACGUAUUGGAGUCACAUCCCCACGACGCUUACGUGGUCUUGUCGGCCGGUCACGAUGGCCAACUGUUCAUAUGGGAUUUAAAUCGUGGUGAAAUUGUAUAUAGAUUUUUGAAUACAAUAGAGGGACAGGGUUAUGGAGCAAUUUUCGACGUGAAAUGGGGUCCGGACGGACGAGGAUUUUCGGCAUCCGAUUCUCACGGGCACAUUUUGACUUUUGGAUUUGGUACUGGAAGCGUCUUCUUUGAACAAUUACCUAAAGAACUAUUCUUUCACACGGACUACAGGCCUUUAGUGAGAGAUGCCAAUCACUAUGUCCUCGACGAACAAACUCAAGUUCCUCCACAUCUCAUGCCUCCUCCAUUUUUAGUCGAUAUUGAUGGAAAUCCUUAUCCUCCGAUGUUGCAACGUUUGGUUCCUGGUAGGGAACACUGCAAGACUGAACAACUAGUACCGAAUAUUGUCAUUGGCAAUGAAGGUACACAAGAAGUGAUUCAAGAUAUCGAACAUCCACCGGUGUUAAUACCGAACGAAGAAGACAGAGGGACCGGUUCCGGAUUGCGUCUAGCUCGCAGUUUGUCAAACAGAAGUAGGGACAUGGAACGGUUGAGGAACAGCACCGGUGAUUGGCAGUCAGAUCCCAAUAUGGAAUGGAAAAGGAACACCCUAGUGCCUCCGCUCAGGCCAGCACUGUUGGAAAAGUUCAAGGAAUACCGAGAAUGCAUUAAGGACAACGAAAUUGAGGAGUAUCAAAAGCAAUUGAAACUGAGACCGCACAUGAUUUGCACAAGCACAUCCAACAACGUCAAAUCCACUGAUAAAAAGAAAAACAAAACUGCCAAAUAUCUUACCAGAGCUCAACGGUCUGAUCUUCCAGCUCCUGAAGUACAGGGUCCUACUGAUCCAGUAACUUCGUCAGAUAAUGACGACGACAUGUCCGAAUCGUCGGGCUAUUCGGAUUGGAUGGCGGAGGAGGGGGUCAAUUUAGAGCCGCCUAAACGAUCAAAACGUCGCCAAGUACAGUUGAGUAUCUCGGAUCCUGACGACGACGACGAUGAUGACGACGACGAAGACGACGACGAUGACGAGGAAGAGGAUGAUGAUGAGGACGAAGAUGAGGUAAUUGAAGGGCGCGCAGGAGGGAGUAAAAGACUUGAGAGGACAAAACGGAGGAGGAGGAGGCCACCACGUGAGGUAAAUGCUGAUAAACACAAUGAGAGAGAUAAAGACAAGGAAUUAGACGAUCCAAAACCAUCGACGAGUACCGGAAGCGUUCGAAUAUCUAAAAAACUUAGUGAGCAAUACAGAUUGAGCGAAUGGCUUUCUGAGACGAUUCCAAGAAAGUCUCCAUAUUAUCCUCAAAUGGGAGAUAUUAUUGUGUAUUUCAUUGAGGGCCAUCAGUUGUAUCUAGACGCGGUGAAACUGAAAAAUGCCUACGAUAUAAAUACGAAAGACUUGCCUUGGAAUAAGUUGGAUAUCAGAGAUCACGAGUACGUAAAAGUUAUCGGUAUUCAAUAUGAAAUUAAACCGCCAAGACUGUGCUGUCUGCGUUUGGCUUUAUUGGAUGACGAGGGUCGAAUGACCGGCAAUAUUUUCACCGUCAAGUAUCACGAUAUGCCCGACGUUUUAGAUUUCUUUGUUUUGAAACAAACUUAUACCACUGCCAUUUCACGCAAUUGGAAAAUUGGUGAUAAAUUUCGUUGUAUGAUUGACGACGGAUGGUGGAUAGGCGAAAUAAUCAACAAGUCCCCAGCAUCGGAAAAAUAUCCGAAUUCCUCGUUCUUAAGUUACGAAAUACGAUGGGAAAAUGGAGAACAGGAGAAGAUGUCACCUUGGGACUUUGAACCAAUAGAUGAAAACCUGAUUCUAGGUAUGCCAGCUAACGAGAACGAAGCACUGCCAGUUCAAGAAGAAGAAAUGAAUGCAAUAUUGUACAAACCAGUUCCGGAAGACUGGCCUAACAAUAACCGGGACGAGGUAUCCAAAAACAUAUUGGAAGGUCUCACCAAAGUGAUGCAAUUAGCGAUUGCCGAACCUUUUUUGGUUCCAGUAGAUUUAAGUAUUUAUCCUACAUAUGCAAUGAUUAUAGAGUAUCCUAUUGACCUGUCCACGAUAAAGGCAAGGUUCGAAAACAAUUUUUAUAGAAGACUGACUGCCGCACAAUUUGAUAUUAGGUACCUGGCGACCAAUGCUGAAAAGUUCAAUGUCAGACAUAGUGUAAUCGUAAAACAUGCCAGAAUAUUAACUGAACUAUGUCUCAGGAUAGUUAAAAACUGUACUGGUUAUGUGGAUGUACAAACUAUUUACCACGAACUAGUAGACACUUAUGAUUCAUCAGAUACUGAGGACGAAGUGGAGAUUGAUCCGUCUAGCAGUAGAACUCUGAGGUCGCUGCCAAACAGAACACUAAGAGAAUCCAGCGAAUGGAAGAAUGAAGCGAAGAAUCUCAUCGACGCUAUGUGGGAAGCUGAAGACUCCAUACCUUUUAGAACACCAGUUAACUUAUUCAAGUAUCCUGAUUACAAACAAGUUGUGAAGAAUCCAAUGGACUUAGGCACUGUCAAAGAAAACUUGUUGAAUAAUAAAUAUAAAACUCCUGAAGCCUUUAGCAAAGACAUGAAACUAAUUUUUCAAAAUUCUAGAACGUACAACACUAACAAACGAUCAAGAAUUUACGUUAUGACCGUACGUUUGGCAGCUAUAUUCGAAGAUCACAUGUCUAAAAUAAUAGAAAACUGGAAGAUUGCGAAAACUCAAGAAUCCGAUGAUAAUUCUGAUGAAGAAACUAGCCGUUCCUCUCUGCGAUCUUCAACAUCCCGAGCUGAAUCUACAAUUAAUCCAGUCAGCAGGGUGAACAACAAGAUUGAGUCUAGUGGCAGUGACAGUGAAGACAUGCCGCUAGAAGUGUUGAAAACUGGUAACAGAACCAACACAGAAACGGACAGUACUAGUCAGGAAGUAGUAGAUGAUCAGGUUCAUGUUGAGGAAGAGCAGUCGUCGAAUUCUGAGUCUGAAGAGAGUUACAAGCCGGAAGAGGAGUACGCAGGACCUUCAAGGAACUCGAGGACUACUAGGAAAAGGCACCAAACGACAUCUGACGAGGAAGAGGAAGAGCAGGAGGAAGAUGUAGAAGAAGAGACUACAGAAGAUUCGGACGAUUAUGAUAAUUACCGACGGAAAAGGACUAGUUUACGCAAGAGACCCGCGAGAAAAAAACAGUUUUAUGCUAGUCCAUCCGACGAUAGUGAUGAUGAUUGUUUGUCUGUGAAUACGAGAAGUAAGCGAAGAAAACUGGCUAGUGAUAGUGACAGUGAUGAUAGGCCUCUUAGGACUCCUCAAGAGGGUGAGCAAAACGGAACGUAUUUCUCUUCGGUGAGCAGUCGGGGGAGGCUGAGGAAAUUGACACCUAGAGCGAUUGCUUUAAUGAAAAAUUUUGCUAGAAUAUUCAAAGUAAAAGAAAAUCGAAACAUUACCCUGUAGAAGAAUCAUAUUUCAUAGAAAUAUUUGAAAAGGACUGUUAAAUUGUUAUUUCAUAAUUGUGUGCAAAAACAUGUUAGUAACCAGCCAGACACUCUCAAAAUUCUGAGAGCGAAGAAACAAGCGACUCGAGAAGCAGGGAAAGAAGAACACACAGUGACGACAGUAACAGUAUGGACAGACCACAGUCGUCUGUGCGUUAUGAAGCUAACGGCAGC